GACGAACGCUGGCGGCGUGCUUAACACAUGCAAGUCGAACGCUGAGGCUCAGCUUUUGUUGGGUGGAUGAGUGGCGAACGGGUGAGUAACACGUGAGUAACCUGCCCCCUUCUUUGGGAUAACGCCCGGAAACGGGUGCUAAUACUGGAUAUUCACUGGUCUUCGCAUGGGGGUUGGUGGAAAGGGUUUUUCUGGUGGGGGAUGGGCUCGCGGCCUAUCAGCUUGUUGGUGGGGUGAUGGCCUACCAAGGCUUUAACGGGUAGCCGGCCUGAGAGGGUGACCGGUCACAUUGGGACUGAGAUACGGCCCAGACUCCUACGGGAGGCAGCAGUGGGGAAUAUUGCACAAUGGGCGCAAGCCUGAUGCAGCGACGCCGCGUGAGGGAUGGAGGCCUUCGGGUUGUGAACCUCUUUCGCUCAUGGUCAAGCCGCAACAAUGGUUGUGGUGAGGGUAGUGGGUAAAGAAGCGCCGGCUAACUACGUG
This 483-nucleotide ribosomal RNA is filed under the name uncultured bacterium. RNAcentral describes it as "partial 16S ribosomal RNA". It matches the Rfam family "Bacterial small subunit ribosomal RNA", at positions 28 to 507 of the family's 1533-position model. The record is from RNAcentral.